AGAGUUUGAUCCUGGCUCAGAACAAACGCUGGCGGCGUGCCUAACACAUGCAAGUCGCACGCGAAAGGGGGCAACCCUGAGUAGAGUGGCGGACGGGUGAGUAACGCGUAGGAAUCUACCUGGUAGUGGGGGACAACCCGGCGAAAGCCGGGCUAAUACCGCAUACGAUCCACGGAUGAAAGCAGGGGACCGCAAGGCCUUGCGCUAUCAGAUGAGCCUGCGUCGGAUUAGCUAGUUGGUGAGGUAACGGCUCACCAAGGCGACGAUCCGUAGCUGGUUUGAGAGAACGACCAGCCACACCGGAACUGAGACACGGUCCGGACUCCUACGGGAGGCAGCAGUGGGGAAUAUUGGACAAUGGGGGCAACCCUGAUCCAGCAAUGCCGCGUGUGUGAAGAAGGCCUUCGGGUUGUAAAGCACUUUCGGUGGGGACAAACAAGGCGGAGCUGACAUCUCCGUCCCUGAUGGUACCCAAAGAAGAAGCACCGGCUAACUCUGUGCCAGCAGCCGCGGUAAUACAGAGGGUGCAAGCGUUAAUCGGAAUUACUGGGCGUAAAGGGUGCGUAGGUGGUUUGUUAAGUCAGGCGUGAAAUCCUCGGGCUCAACCUGGGAACUGCGCUUGAUACUGGCAGACUCGAGUGUGGUAGAGGAUAGUGGAAUUCCCGGUGUAGCGGUGAAAUGCGUAGAUAUCGGGAGGAACAUCAGUGGCGAAGGCGGCUAUCUGGACUAACACUGACACUGAGGCACGAAAGCGUGGGUAGCAAACAGGAUUAGAUACCCUGGUAGUCC
RNAcentral lists this ribosomal RNA (789 nucleotides) under uncultured bacterium. RNAcentral's name for it is "bacterial SSU rRNA". It matches the Rfam family "Bacterial small subunit ribosomal RNA", at positions 8 to 796 of the family's 1533-position model. The record is from RNAcentral.